Molecule: long non-coding RNA, 280 nt
Organism: Bombyx mori (domestic silkworm)
Lineage: Eukaryota; Metazoa; Arthropoda; Insecta; Lepidoptera; Bombycidae
Exons: 2
Source: RefSeq, a predicted model, not a curated record
CGACGAUGCGACGCAGCUGGUCAUAACUUAAGCGUUGCCUUCACUUGAGUCAACCAACACAGCUGCGGCGUACCUUAACAAAUUUAAAACAAUUACGCAGAAAUGUAUCGCUGAGAAAUUAAUGAGAUUAAACAUGGAUUAACCGUAAUCGGCGUUGGAGCCGCAGGACAUGAAGUCUACCAAGAGUCAAAGAACAGCGGCUGAGCGAUUGAACUGAUUUUAAAAAUCACCACUUCAGUAUUAUUUGUAAUAUCUUUAGAAUAUAUUCUCUCAUUUUAAA